CGUCUUUGAGUUCUUAGCAGGAAGCUGGAAUCAGAAGCAGAGCCAGGACUCAAGAACAGUCACUACAGUGCAGGAUGCAGGCACCACUCCCCUCCUCAUGAGCUCCUGUUUUUAAUGUAAAAUGGGUAUUAAUGUAUAGUAGAAGAACUAACAUUAGACGUAGGUUCAGGGUUCACUGUAGCAUUUAGUACUGGUGAUACUGUGCAAAGACACACUAUAACAUAAGGAUAUCUCAUGGUAUUGUGUCUGGGUUUAGAAGGAUAAUGUGUGUACUUAAGCAUAAGGCCUGGCACACAGAAAACGUUCAGAUUGUUUAUUACAGUGAUGAUGCAAAUAGUUUUCUGAUCUUGAAUGUUCAAAAUAACUGCAGCAUAAGUUUGGUUACAGUGUUAGGGGUUACAUUCCCGUCAGUGGCGGAUAGCUGGGCCAGCUGCUCUGCAGUGAAUUCACAAGGCUUCUGCAAAACUCAUGGAUGAAAUGGAAAAUACUGUUUGUGAUUCAUUUAUUUGGUCUGAUUUCUAAUGAUUGAAUGGUUUGGUUUAUUCUAGAAGUCAUUAUGACAAUUUAAGUUUUCGCAAGAAAAGUAGAAGGGUAAUUAUCAAUCAGUUGUAGAGCAGCUGUUAAGAUUUCCCUUCAGCUAUUUUUGAUACAGACUUUAAUAACACCUACUCCCUCGUCCUUCCUGCUACUCACCCCCUUAUCAAAUGAUUGGUGAGUCAUUUUUCAUCUUUCUUCUCUGUCCCUUCCCCUUCGUUAUUUUGAAGCAAAUCUCAUUACAAUCUUGUAUGUUUUUCACAAAGCAGAUGAUAUAAACUUGGAUUA
Molecule: long non-coding RNA, 822 nt
Organism: Ochotona curzoniae (black-lipped pika)
Lineage: Eukaryota; Metazoa; Chordata; Mammalia; Lagomorpha; Ochotonidae
Exons: 2
Source: RefSeq, a predicted model, not a curated record